ACACUCCUGCGGGAGGCAGCAGUGGGGAAUUUUGGACAAUGGGCGAAAGCCUGAUCCAGCAAUGCCGCGUGAGUGAAGAAGGCCUUCGGGUUGUAAAGCUCUUUUGUCAGGGAAGAAACGGUGAAAGCUAAUAUCUUUUGCUAAUGACGGUACCUGAAGAAUAAGCACCGGCUAACUACGUGCCAGCAGCCGCGGUAAUACGUAGGGUGCAAGCGUUAAUCGGAAUUACUGGGCGUAAAGCGUGCGCAGGCGGUUUUGUAAGUCUGAUGUGAAAUCCCCGGGCUCAACCUGGGAAUUGCAUUGGAGACUGCAAGGCUAGAAUCUGGCAGAGGGGGGUAGAAUUCCACGUGUAGCAGUGAAAUGCGUAGAUAUGUGGAGGAACACCGAUGGCGAAGGCAGCCCCCUGGGUCAAGAUUGACGCUCAUGCACGAAAGCGUGGGGAGCAAACAGGAUUAGAAACCCGAGUAGUCCCAUGA
This 476-nucleotide ribosomal RNA is filed under the name uncultured organism. RNAcentral describes it as "partial 16S ribosomal RNA". It matches the Rfam family "Bacterial small subunit ribosomal RNA", at positions 333 to 800 of the family's 1533-position model. The record is from RNAcentral.